Molecule: ribosomal RNA, 495 nt
Filed under: uncultured bacterium
Lineage: Bacteria
Description: partial 16S ribosomal RNA
Rfam family: Bacterial small subunit ribosomal RNA
Source: RNAcentral
GACGAACGCUGGCGGCGUGCCUAAUACAUGCAAGUCGAACGCUGAAGGAGGAGCUUGCUUCUCUGGAUGAGUUGCGAACGGGUGAGUAACGCGUAGGUAACCUGCCUGGUAGCGGGGGAUAACUAUUGGAAACGAUAGCUAAUACCGCAUAAGAGUAGAUGUUGCAUGACAUUUGCUUAAAAGGUGCAAUUGCAUCACUACCAGAUGGACCUGCGUUGUAUUAGCUAGUUGGUGGGGUAACGGCUUACCAAGGCGACGAUACAUAGCCGACCUGAGAGGGUGAUCGGCCACACUGGGACUGAGACACGGCCCAGACUCCUACGGGAGGCAGCAGUAGGGAAUCUUCGGCAAUGGACGGAAGCCUGACCGAGCAACGCCGCGUGAGUGAAGAAGGGUUUCGGAUCGUAAAGCUCUGUUGUAAGAGAAGAACGAGUGUGAGAGUGGAAAGUUCACACUGUGACGGUAGCUUACCAGAAAGGGACGGCUAACUACGUG